This 91-nucleotide signal recognition particle RNA is filed under the name Mycoplasmataceae bacterium. RNAcentral's name for it is "signal recognition particle sRNA small type". It matches the Rfam family "Bacterial small signal recognition particle RNA". From Rfam's summary of the family: The signal recognition particle (SRP) is a universally conserved ribonucleoprotein involved in the co-translational targeting of proteins to membranes. Archaeal SRP consists of a 7S RNA and homologues of the eukaryotic SRP19 and SRP54 proteins. Lineage: Bacteria; Bacillati; Mycoplasmatota; Mollicutes; Mycoplasmatales; Mycoplasmataceae. The record is from RNAcentral.
UAUAUGUCACUAUAAUGUGGUUGGCGAACCGUGUUAGGUUGGAAACAAAGCGGCACUAAGCUAUAAAUCACAUGUAUAGUGGCAUUAUUUA